CCCUUAGAUGUCCGGGGCUGCACGCGCACUACACUGAAGGAAUCAGCGUGCUAAAACCAUUGUCGAAAGGCAUUGGUAAACCCAUUAAAAUCCUACGUGAUUGGGAUCGGGAAUUGCAAUUAUUUCCCUUGAACGAGGAAUUCCCAGUAAGUGUGGGUCAUAAGCUCGCGUUGAUUACGUCCCUGCCCUUUGUACACACCGCCCGUCGCUGCCCGGGACUGAGCCGUUUCGAGAAAAGCGGGGACUGCUGCUGUCGGGGCUUUCGGGCCUUGGCUUCGGUGGAAACCGCUUUAAUCGCAGUGGCUUGAACCGGGCAAAAGUCGUAACA
Molecule: ribosomal RNA, 328 nt
Filed under: uncultured eukaryote
Lineage: Eukaryota
Description: partial 18S ribosomal RNA
Rfam family: Eukaryotic small subunit ribosomal RNA
Source: RNAcentral